Molecule: long non-coding RNA, 1669 nt
Filed under: Fukomys damarensis (Damara mole-rat)
Lineage: Eukaryota; Metazoa; Chordata; Mammalia; Rodentia; Bathyergidae
Description: lncRNA (ENSFDAG00000021877.1)
Source: RNAcentral
CCGCGGCGGAAGGAAAGGCUUGGUCGGAGGGGCGUCCGUCCGGGAGGACACGCGCAGGGAGGGGAGCCAGAGCGCCGAGGCGCCAGCACACACAGAAGCAUUUCCCUGCACACACCCAGGCAGAACGCGCCAACGAGGGCCGGUCCGGGUCCGGGGCAGGGAAUGGGGGCGCGGGCUGGUGAUUUUAGUACUGGGAAGCCGGGGAAGGCGAGUGAGCUGCCCUGCGGAAGCCCGGCCUCUGGACAGCAGCAGGGAGCUUUAACCUUGAUUUCUAGAGUCUUGUCCAGGGCUAGGGGCCCUGCCAGUUCGAGGGAGCCGUCCUCCGGCCUUCCGGGUACCCUACCCGCAGCCAAGAAAGUAAAACAGCCCCGGAAACUGACCGUGAACCAAUUCUCUGACCAGGAAGGCAUCUGUGCUCUUCUCCCCACACUCACUCAGGAAUGGGCUGGCCUUGGAUUUCAGGCCCAGAGACUGAACUUGUGGGUAAAUCGGGUUUCCGCCUCAGCAGAACACUUCUUUAGGGUCCGACGCUCAUUAAAGUGCUCCAGCAUUCUGGGGGAACCUAAUUGCCCUACUCCUUCACAAAAACAUUUCCCAACAAAUCCUUUGUGCCCACUCCCCAGAAAGAAUUUCCCCUGGCCUGGUGAAAACAGUCACUGAACAUUAUUUUCAGCCUUGGGACCGAUUUGCUUGUCCCCUCUCAGUGCCCUUGCCCAAACAAUAACCCCUUUUAAAAAACUCCGCGGUGGCAAUGAGACAGACCUUUUAAACCUUUACGCAGCUGUUCAAAUACAACAUCACUGUCAGGUUAAAAGCCUGGCGCCUCUAACUGCUCAGGCUGCAGCACCCCGGCUUAACUGGAGGUUUAAACAUUACCUUUCCACAGGGGUGGCUAUUUUUGAGAUUGAGGGUGGGGGUUGGAGGAGGCAGGAAAACACACACACACACAACUUUUGACUCUAGGUUGCUAAGAUCCCCUUCAACGCCAGCAGCCACUAAUCAGCGCCCCCAAAUUUCUUUUCCCACAUUGUGGACAUCUUGUUUUGAGCCACAGCUAAUAGUGCCCAGAGCUCGACAAAGUGCCCGCUGCACUCACUAGCGGUGAGAGCCCUGACGACGCCAGCCUGGCGCUCCAGCAUUUGUGUCCCUUUAUAUCUCGGCCAGGAGAGCUGCCUGAAACUCGGUUGCCCACUUUUCCCUAUCUCUAGAGAGGCAGAACUGUUCAAUCUAAUCAGGAAUUUUAUGCCCAUCAAAUGCCCUUUCAUAAUCUUUAUUUAUACACGAAGAAGACAUCUAGGCUAAAAAAACAAGCUAUUCCUUGUGGAGCGGGUAGGUUGUCAGUGAGCCAGGGCAGAGAGAAUCUGCCUUCUGUAUUUGGGAGCCUUUCUAUUUCGGCUCACUGUGACUUCGAGCUCAAAGUCACCCCACAUUGGAUUGGGUUUGAAACAAAUCUUCAUUCAUAGGGGCUUAUCAGAUAUAAUUUUGAAUCUAUUUUUACAGAAUUCUAUUUUUUGUCUUUCAAAUUUUGGCUUUCAGAUCAGUUCUUCAGGGCCAGAAAUGGUAAUUUUAAGUGAUUUUUGUUAUCAAAAAUCAAGCAAAAUAGAAAUAAUCCAAAGAGAAUGAGCUGGAUAGAGGAGAAGGGAAAGUGUGCCUUAAGAGCUUAACGUGG